GUGCUCGCUUCUGCAGCACAUAUACUAAAAUUGGAAUGAUACCGAGAAGAUUAGCAUGGCCCCUUGCGCAAGGAUGACACGCAAAUUCGUGAAGUAUUCUAUAUUUUU
Small nuclear RNA from Mastomys coucha (southern multimammate mouse), 108 nucleotides. NCBI's taxonomy places the organism in Eukaryota, Metazoa, Chordata, Mammalia, Rodentia, Muridae. The record is from RefSeq and is a predicted model, not a curated record.